AGUAAAAGUCGCUCCAAGAUUUUCGUAGGUGAACCUGCGGAAGGAUCAUUAACGAAUUCGGGCGCUCGACUCUGAAAUAUUGAGAUCGGCCCCAUUUCUUAAUCCACUUCACACUUGUGCACAUUUUUCCUACUUUCCUUCGGGAGAGCUUGAAAAGCUCUUGUGAUUUUAAUCAAGUCCAGGAUGUGAAUCCAAUUUGAAUAAGUUGUAAAACAACUACAAACGGUGGAUCUCUUGGCUCUCGUAUCGAUGAAGAACGCAGCGAAACGCGAAAUGUAAUGUGAAUUGCAGAAUUCAGUGAAUCAUCGAAUCUUUGAACGCAUCUUGCACUCUCGAAUCACUAUCGAGAGUAUGCCUGUUUGAGUGUCGCGAAACUCUCAACCCCGCCUCAUGCUUUAUUGCGUGUGGGUAGCUUGGGCUUGGAUCAUGAUCUUUGCAGUAAUGCGCUAGCAGAACUGCUGGAUUGAAAUACAACAAGCUGAAUCUAUAUACUUGCGGCUUGACCUGUCGUUGUAAGCACACAAAUGCAUUCGAUGGGGACGCGAGAAAAUGGAAUGAGCUUUCCAAAUGUGUUACACUUUGCAGCUUCUAUUAACUUAGAGCUCUUAGUGCAUUCUGACCUCAAAUCAGGUAGGAUUACCCGCUGAACUUAAGCAUAUCAAUAAGCGGAGGA
This 673-nucleotide ribosomal RNA is filed under the name uncultured fungus. RNAcentral's name for it is "eukaryotic LSU rRNA". The stretch from base 215 to 369 matches the Rfam family "5.8S ribosomal RNA". The record is from RNAcentral. Lineage: Eukaryota; Fungi.